RNAcentral lists this ribosomal RNA (202 nucleotides) under Aurantiochytrium limacinum. Its description in RNAcentral is "partial Bacterial small subunit ribosomal RNA". It matches the Rfam family "Bacterial small subunit ribosomal RNA", at positions 1311 to 1511 of the family's 1533-position model. Lineage: Eukaryota; Bigyra; Thraustochytrida; Thraustochytriidae. The record is from RNAcentral.
CUCGACUAUAUGAAGCUGGAAUCGCUAGUAAUCGUAGAUCAGCAUGCUACGGUGAAUACGUUCCCGGGUCUUGUACACACCGCCCGUCACACCACGAGAGUUUGUAACACCCGAAGUCGGUGAGGUAACCUUUUAGGAGCCAGCCGCCUAAGGUGGGAUAGAUGAUUGGGGUGAAGUCGAAACAAGGUAGCCGUAUCGGAAG